This 1272-nucleotide long non-coding RNA is filed under the name Manihot esculenta (cassava). Its description in RNAcentral is "long non-coding RNA (MESC_LNC005930)". The record is from RNAcentral. Lineage: Eukaryota; Viridiplantae; Streptophyta; Magnoliopsida; Malpighiales; Euphorbiaceae.
GCUAGUUCAUGAAAAGGUAUGCUGUAAUGCUGAAAUAAUGUUUAUGCAGUAAUGCUAUUAAAUAGGUAAGGUUCAUGUUCCAGUAUCCAUCAUUGAGGAAGAAGUUAUGGCUAACGUCUUUGACAACUAGGUACCCAACUGAAUAUCUAUCAACUAAUGAAGCAUGGAUAAAGGUUCAACUACUUCCAUAACCAAAUGGAAGUGCUUACAAUCUUGUUCUAGGCAGAAGACAGCGUUGUUACAUUGGAGGUUGCAACCAACGGACAAACAAAAUCAGUUAACGUGAUUCACAGCUUUGAGAAAAAGUGACAUCGUGGAAUCCAAAUGUGCCGUGAAACUAUAAGGGUACGUUUAGGACAACAGUUUUGUUUUUUUUUUUCUAUUUUUAAAGAAAAUUAUAGUUUUUAUCUUUUUACAGAAAAUAAGAAAAAAUAUAUAUAUAAAAACUUGUUUUUGCCUGCAAUAAUAAAAAAUGUUUUCUAAGUAAAAAAAAUCAUAACUUUCCAUAUUAAAUUGUUUAAAAUUAUAUCUAAAAACUUAGUUGCUUUACUUUUAAAAAUUUUUACCUUGUAAGAACAUAAUUAAUUUUAUAACUGUAGAUCAAUAUCUUUUGAUUUAACGGUUGAAUAUAACUGAUAGAAAUCGGUUGAAUAUGAUUGGCUCAAUUCUUUGUGGAUCCUACCUUUUUUUAAGCCUUGUAAUUGAUCAUACCUUUUAUUUUUCUCAAUUGUGUUUGACAGAUAAUUUUUGUAAUAAUUUAAGGGAUGCCAAAUCCUUAUAUGUCUAAAAAUAGAACGUGUUUUUUUUAUAAAAUAAGAUCCAAAAGUAAAAUGUAAUAAAGCCAUUAGUCCAAUAGACCAAUAGAAUGGAUGCAUUUAGAUCUUCUAAAUUUUGAUGUUCAAAAAGAAAGAAAGGAAAGGGUCUGUUUCCUGAGGCUGCUGUUAUGGCAGUCAAGAAAGGUAAGACCGGCAUAACUUGUUUUCAGUGUGGCAAAUCUGGUCAUGUCAAGGCUCAAUGCUAUAGACUCAUUGGAUUUCCAGCGGAUUUUAAGGUCACAGAGUCAAGAAGUGGUGCACCAUCUAGAAAUAAUUCUAACCAUUUGUCAAGAUCUUCUGUUCAACAGGUAUCUUCUGCUAGUAAUGAGACUACAAGUCAAUUGAAUCUUUCCAAGGAACAACUCCAAAAACUCAUGACUCUUCUCAAUGAUCAAAAUUCAAAAAGUAUCAAUACUUCCUCUUCUCCUCCUCCUCAAAACUCACAAGUUAAUGCAGC